GAUGAACGCUGGCGGCGUGCCUAAUACAUGCAAGUCGAGCGGUAAGGUCCCUUCGGGGAUACACGAGCGGCGGACGGCUGAGUAACACGUAGGAACGUACCCCAAAGUGAGGGAUAAGCACCAGAAAUGGUGUCUAAUACCGCAUGUGCUCUAAGGAGUAAAGCUUCGGCGCUUUGGGAACGGCCUGCGUCCGAUUAGCUAGUUGGUGAGGUAAUAGCUCACCAAGGCGACGAUCGGUAGCUGGUCUGAGAGGAUGAUCAGCCAGACUGGGACUGAAACACAGCCCAGACUCCUACGGGAGGCAGCAGUAGGGAAUUUUCCACAAUGGGCGAAAGCCUGAUGGAGCAACGCCGCGUGCAGGAUGAAUGCCUUCGGGUUGUAAACUGCUUUUAUAUGUGACGAUUAUGACGGUAACAUAUGAAUAAGGAUCGGCUAACUCCGUGCCAGCAGCCGCCGUAA
Molecule: ribosomal RNA, 459 nt
Filed under: uncultured bacterium
Lineage: Bacteria
Description: partial 16S ribosomal RNA
Rfam family: Bacterial small subunit ribosomal RNA
Source: RNAcentral